AGUGAACGCUGGCGGUAGGCCUAACACAUGCAAGUCGAACGGCAGCACAGGAGAGCUUGCUCUCUGGGUGGCGAGUGGCGGACGGGUGAGGAAUACAUCGGAAUCUACUCUGUCGUGGGGGAUAACGUAGGGAAACUUACGCUAAUACCGCAUACGACCUACGGGUGAAAGCAGGGGACCUUCGGGCCUUGCGCGAUUGAAUGAGCCGAUGUCGGAUUAGCUAGUUGGCGGGGUAAAGGCCCACCAAGGCGACGAUCCGUAGCUGGUCUGGGAGGUAGAUCAGCCACACUGGAACUGAGACACGGUCCAGACUCCUACGGGAGGCAGCAGUGGGGAAUAUUGGACAAUGGGCGCAAGCCUGAUCCAGCCAUACCGCGUGGGUGAAGAAGGCCUUCGGGUUGUAAAGCCCUUUUGUUGGGAAAGAAAUCCAGCUGGCUAAUACCCGGUUGGGAUGACGGUACCCAAAGAAUAGGCACCGGCUAACUUCGUGCCAGCCGCCGCCGUAA
RNAcentral lists this ribosomal RNA (506 nucleotides) under uncultured bacterium. RNAcentral's name for it is "partial 16S ribosomal RNA". It matches the Rfam family "Bacterial small subunit ribosomal RNA", at positions 29 to 523 of the family's 1533-position model. The record is from RNAcentral.